GUUUUUAUAGUGUAAAUUACAUUUUACUUUUUCGUUGUAAAGCUGAAAUAUGAUAUUUCUAAAAACA
This 67-nucleotide transfer RNA is filed under the name Huananpotamon koatenense. RNAcentral's name for it is "tRNA-Glu". The record is from RNAcentral. Lineage: Eukaryota; Metazoa; Arthropoda; Malacostraca; Decapoda; Potamidae.